RNAcentral lists this ribosomal RNA (461 nucleotides) under Lactococcus lactis. Its description in RNAcentral is "bacterial SSU rRNA". It matches the Rfam family "Bacterial small subunit ribosomal RNA", at positions 28 to 472 of the family's 1533-position model. Lineage: Bacteria; Bacillati; Bacillota; Bacilli; Lactobacillales; Streptococcaceae. The record is from RNAcentral.
GACGAACGCGGCGGCGUGCCUAAUACAUGCAAGUUGAGCGCUGAAGGUUGGUACUUGUACCAACUGGAUGAGCAGCGAACGGGUGAGUAACGCGUGGGGAAUCUGCCUUUGAGCGGGGGACAACAUUUGGAAACGAAUGCUAAUACCGCAUAAAAACUUUAAACACAAGUUUUAAGUUUGAAAGAUGCAAUUGCAUCACUCAAAGAUGAUCCCGCGUUGUAUUAGCUAGUUGGUGAGGUAAAGGCUCACCAAGGCGAUGAUACAUAGCCGACCUGAGAGGGUGAUCGGCCACAUUGGGACUGAGACACGGCCCAAACUCCUACGGGAGGCAGCAGUAGGGAAUCUUCGGCAAUGGACGAAAGUCUGACCGAGCAACGCCGCGUGAGUGAAGAAGGUUUUCGGAUCGUAAAACUCUGUUGGUAGAGAAGAACGUUGGUGAGAGUGGAAAGCUCAUCAAGUGA